This 406-nucleotide ribosomal RNA is filed under the name uncultured bacterium. RNAcentral describes it as "partial 16S ribosomal RNA". It matches the Rfam family "Bacterial small subunit ribosomal RNA", at positions 30 to 526 of the family's 1533-position model. The record is from RNAcentral.
AUUGAACGCUAGCGGCAGGCCUAACACAUGCAAGUCGAACGAGUGGCGGACGGGUGAGUAAUGUCUGGGAACCUGCCUGAUGGAGGGGGAUAAAUACUGGAAACGGUAGCUAAUACCGCAUACCAUCGGAUGUGCCCAGAUGGGAUUAGCUAGUUGGUGGGGUAAAGGCUCACCUAGGCGACGAUCCCUAGCUGGUUUGAGAGGAUGACCAGCCCCACUGGAACUGAGACACGGUCCAGACUCCUACGGGAGGCAGCAGUGGGGAAUAUUGCACAAUGGGCGCAAGCCUGCUGCAGCCAUCCCGCGUGUAUGAUGAAGGCCUUCGGGUUGUAAAGUACUUUCAGCGGGGAGGCGUUACCCGCAGAAUAAGCACCGGCUAACUCCGUGCCAGCAGCCGCGGUAAUAC